RNAcentral lists this ribosomal RNA (459 nucleotides) under uncultured bacterium. RNAcentral's name for it is "partial 16S ribosomal RNA". It matches the Rfam family "Bacterial small subunit ribosomal RNA", at positions 338 to 795 of the family's 1533-position model. The record is from RNAcentral.
CCUACGGGUGGCAGCAGUGAGGAAUAUUGGUCAAUGGGCGGGAGCCUGAACCAGCCAAGCCGCGUGAGGGAAGAAGGUACAGCGUAUCGUAAACCUCUUUUGUCAGGGAACAAAGGCUGGGACUAGUCCCCGGAUGAGGGUACCUGAAGAAAAAGCAUCGGCAAACUCUGUGCCAGCAGCCGCGGUAAUACGGAGGAUGCGAGCGUUAUCCGGAUUUAUUGGGUUUAAAGGGUGCGCAGGGGGCCUGUUAAGUCAGCGGUAAAAGCCCGGGGCUCAACCCCGGAGAGCCGUUGAAACUGGCGGGCUUGAGUUGGAGAGAGGUAAGCGGAAUGCGCGGUGUAGCGGUGGAAUGCUUAGAUAUCGGGAAGAACCCCGGUUGCGAAGGCAGCGUACCGGCUCCACACUGACGCUGAGGCACGAAAGCGUGGGUAUCGAACAGGAUUAGAUACCCGAGUAGUC